ACGCUGGCGGCGUGCUUAAUACAUGCAAGUCGAACGAGAACCUUUUGCUUUAACUUCGGUUGAUGCAGUUGGGGAAAGUGGCGAACGGGUGAGUAACACGUGGGCAAUCUGCCCUCAAAUCUGGGAUAAUCCUUCGAAAGGGGGCCUAAUACCGGAUAAGACCAUAGGAUGGCAUCAUCCAGUGGUCAAAGGUGGAGCAAUCUACUGUUUGAGGAUGAGCCCGCGCCCCAUUAGCUUGUUGGUGAGGUAACGGCCCACCAAGGCUCCGAUGGGUAGCCGGCCUGAGAGGGUGAUCGGCCACACUGGGACUGAGAUACGGCCCAGACUCCUACGGGAGGCAGCAGUAGGGAAUAUUGCGCAAUGGACGAAAGUCUGACGCAGCAACGCCGCGUGGGUGAUGAAGCAUCUUGGUGUGUAAAACCCUGUCAGUGGGGAAGAACAACAUCGGUAGUAACUGACCGAUGCCUGACGGUACCCACAGAGGAAGCACCGGCUAACUCCGUGCCAGCAGCCGCGGUAAUACGGGGGGUGCAAGCGUUGUUCGGAUUUACUGGGCGUAAAGGGCGCGUAGGCGGGCCUUCAAGUCGGGUGUGAAAACUGGCAGCUUAACUGCCAGCCUGCAUUCGAUACUGGGGGUCUUGAGUACGGAAGAGGAAAGCGGAAUUCCAGGUGUAGCGGUGAAAUGCGUAGAUAUCUGGAAGAACACCAGUAGCGAAGGCGGCUUUCUGGUCCGAUACUGACGCUGAAGCGCGAAGGCUAGGGUAGCAAA
Molecule: ribosomal RNA, 769 nt
Filed under: uncultured bacterium
Lineage: Bacteria
Description: bacterial SSU rRNA
Rfam family: Bacterial small subunit ribosomal RNA
Source: RNAcentral